GUGCAGCCCCGGGAGGUCAAGGGCGCCAGCCCCUGGCGGAGUUUCCUGGCCUCUGGAAAGUCGGGCGGCGCCCGCAGGGUGCGGGGCGCUCCGGGAGCAGAAGGGGGCGUCGCCGGCCCCGCUCACUUCCCCGUCCGGCCGGAGGUGGGCACAGGCCUGGCCGCCCUGAAGCGGGGGUAGCCCUGCUUCUCGCGACAAGGUUGGAGUCUCCGAGGCUCCUCGAUCAGGCACUGCGGGGGCCCAAGCCGACGUAACCGGCCUCUUUGUUUGCUUCGAGCAGAAAACGAAAGUCCGGGAAACGAGCAUUUGUGGGCUGCGCUGAUGUAAAUGGUGGCACGUUAGUGGGUGGAGCGGGGAGGAUGCUGAAGGUGAAAUGGAAGGCAGCUUAGUGACGGAGAGGCACUCCGGGGCCAGAGGGGGCUGAGCUUUGGCUUAUAGGCCCCCCUCUGCUGGGAAUGGGACGACUCAGGCUAGAGUGCGCAGGAUAUUUUUAAAUGGAAAUAAGUAUCUGGUUUGAAACUCAGCCUCUGGAGCUCGUUUUUUCCCGGCUGGGUACCUAAGCUCAUUUCCUUGCACAUCUGCCAGUGGUCCACUCCGCUGGGACUGGCUGCCUACCCGCCCGGAGGUGGGUUGCAUCCUGGCAUCCGCAUCGGGGUCAUUCGGGCAGCUACCUACUCUGAUCCAGAGUAGCCUUAGGGACACGACCUUAGGGGCACCAGUUAUCAGUCUGCAUCGGAUGGCUGAUUGCGACACAGGGGAGUUGAGUAAGGUUGUUGUGAUCCAAAUAUUUUUCAAAAUAUUUUCGGGAACAAGAAAAGGUAGCACCCCAAGAGAACAAGGCAAGGGCGGGUGGGAGAGGAUGGAGGUCGCGUUCUCUGAAAGCGGUGGAGGUAAGUGAUGCUGGGAGGGGAGGUUUCGAUAAGGAGACAGUAGUUAUGGAGUGCUCUCAAAAGGGAAAGGAGACAAACCUCUGAGCCUGCGGAGGGAAAAGAGGAAACCAGUCAGAUGGCCAGGCCUGCAAGAAAUGCACAGCACCAUCCUUCUCUCCUGGUAGCAACGUACACAGUGCUGCAUCUUAGAAGGUCCACCGUAAAAGAGCACAGGCUCCGGACGCGCAGGCUCAGCGG
This is a non-coding RNA of Delphinapterus leucas (beluga whale), 1127 nucleotides long. The record is from RefSeq and is a predicted model, not a curated record. Lineage: Eukaryota; Metazoa; Chordata; Mammalia; Artiodactyla; Monodontidae.